GAUGAACGCUGGCGGCGUGCCUAAUACAUGCAAGUCGAGCGAACAGAUGAGGAGCUUGCUCCUCUGACGUUAGCGGCGGACGGGUGAGUAACACGUGGAUAACCUACCUAUAAGACUGGGAUAACUUCGGGAAACCGGAGCUAAUACCGGAUAAUAUAUUGAACCGCAUGGUUCAAUAGUGAAAGACGGUUUUGCUGUCACUUAUAGAUGGAUCCGCGCCGCAUUAGCUAGUUGGUAAAGUAACGGCUUACCAAGGCGACGAUGCGUAGCCGACCUGAGAGGGUGAUCGGCCACACUGGAACUGAGACACGGUCCAGACUCCUACGGGAGGCAGCAGUAGGGAAUCUUCCGCAAUGGGCGAAAGCCUGACGGAGCAACGCCGCGUGAGUGAUGAAGGUCUUCGGAUCGUAAAACUCUGUUAUUAGGGAAGAACAAAUGUGUAAGUAACUAUGCACGUCUUGACGGUACCUAAUCAGAAAGCCACGGCUAACUACGUG
This 497-nucleotide ribosomal RNA is filed under the name uncultured bacterium. RNAcentral describes it as "partial 16S ribosomal RNA". It matches the Rfam family "Bacterial small subunit ribosomal RNA", at positions 28 to 507 of the family's 1533-position model. The record is from RNAcentral.